ACGGGGCAGAGGGACUAUGUUGUGAGCCUGCGAAAGAAGUUUGUGUGGGGACUGUGGGCAGUGAACGCGUUGGGAACAAUAUGGAAAACUGGGAGCCGCCUUGGAAUCUACAGGGCCGGGCUGAAGAAAAGAAGAAUGGUAUUCACGCAGUUCCCAUUUUACAGAUGAAAACAAGAGGACUUUUUCUGUGAAGUCAAGAAAGUGGUUACAAUGGUACUUUCAGCCUGUCCGAAUUAUGUAUUGCCCCUCCCCUUUUUAUUAAUAACAUUGAAGUGUGAUGGGACAACCACUGAAGCCGUCAGUUGAAACCUGCUGGGACUUUUUAGCCAUUCUCUUCAACAUAAAGAAUGGGUGUUUUUGGAGGGGGUGAGAGGAAUGGGGAAAUGUUGUCAAAGAGUACAAUGUUUUAGUUGAGACAGGAAGAAUAUAUUUUGUUGAGAUCUACAGCACAGCAUGGUGACUGUAGUUAACAAUGAAGUAUUGUGUAUUUCCAAAUUGCUAAGACAAUAAAUUUCAAAUGUUCUCACCACAAAAAAG
RNAcentral lists this long non-coding RNA (537 nucleotides) under Homo sapiens (human). RNAcentral's name for it is "PGM5P4 antisense RNA 1". The record is from RNAcentral. Lineage: Eukaryota; Metazoa; Chordata; Mammalia; Primates; Hominidae.